RNAcentral lists this ribosomal RNA (384 nucleotides) under uncultured eukaryote. Its description in RNAcentral is "partial 18S ribosomal RNA". It matches the Rfam family "Eukaryotic small subunit ribosomal RNA", at positions 592 to 976 of the family's 1831-position model. The record is from RNAcentral.
CAAUAGCGUAUAUUAAAGUUGUUGCAGUUAAAAAGCUCGUAGUUGGAUGUCUGGCGUCCACUUUUGUCUGCGUCUUCCGAAAGGAUGUACGUGACGGUGGGGCCAACCUUCUCGAGGACCAUGCGUGCCUUUAACUAGGUGUGUGUGGGACUCGGGACCUUUACUUUGAAAAAAUUAGAGUGUUCAAAGCAGGCCUUCGCUUGAAUACAUUAGCAUGGAAUAAUGGAAUAGGACUUUGGUUUUCUAUUUUGUUGGUUUCUAGGACCGAAGUAAUGAUUAAUAGGGAUAGUUGGGGGCAUUAGUAUUUAAUUGUCAGAGGUGAAAUUCUUAGAUUUGUUAAAGACUAACAUCUGCGAAAGCAUUUGCCAAGGAUGUUUNCAUUAA